Long non-coding RNA from Ixodes scapularis (black-legged tick), 177 nucleotides. RefSeq lists it as uncharacterized. The transcript has 3 exons. The record is from RefSeq and is a predicted model, not a curated record. Lineage: Eukaryota; Metazoa; Arthropoda; Arachnida; Ixodida; Ixodidae.
GGCCCAACUGAAAAACACCACAUCCGCUACUUGCAACGAGUCUGCAGUGUCACACGGCUGCAUGCUCUGGCCCAAAGAGUGCUGCAGGUCCAGUCCUGCCAGUUUAUCCUGUAUCAGCUCCCUUUAGGGCUGAAGAGAGCCGUAUUUACCACAACAUGAAUGCUGGGAACUUCUCCG